AAGGGAGGAAGAGACAGAAAAGCCAGCCAAGACAUUAGAGUCAUCUCUAGUGCCUGGUGAUGGAUAGACAAUGACAGGGGUCAAACAAGUUGUCAGUGCCUUUACCUGUGGAGCCAUCUAAUCAUUCCAGCAUCAAAAGUACCUUUGAGGAUCCCAAGUCCUGAGGAGAGAGUCCUUCGGAGCCAGCAGGGCAGCUAGGGAAUCUUCAGAGACUAUCAAGUGCCAAUCUCCCGUGAUGAGUGCAGGAAGAGGAGGCAAAGCUAGAAGAUACGAGGCCAAUAAACUCAUGUUCGUCUCCAAGAGCAGAGAUAAUGA
Molecule: long non-coding RNA, 315 nt
Organism: Peromyscus eremicus (cactus mouse)
Lineage: Eukaryota; Metazoa; Chordata; Mammalia; Rodentia; Cricetidae
Exons: 3
Source: RefSeq, a predicted model, not a curated record